GGGAGUAGAAAUAUUAGGAAAAUUUCAUUUGUAUUAAUUUAGCCAUUUUUAAUUUUUUUUUGCUUGGUUCUUACAGAUUCUUUUGGUUUAUAACUAGAGGUAACCCGUUAGAAUUAAGAGUUUUUUAUAGUGAAAUUGAAAAGACUGUUCAUAGAAAUCGGAGAGAAGAUAGAGAAGCAAAGCAAUGUCAAUAGGUUUUAAUAGACGAUCAAGAGAAAAAGGAC
This 224-nucleotide long non-coding RNA is filed under the name Gossypium raimondii (Peruvian cotton). RNAcentral's name for it is "long non-coding RNA (GRAI_LNC010402)". Lineage: Eukaryota; Viridiplantae; Streptophyta; Magnoliopsida; Malvales; Malvaceae. The record is from RNAcentral.